Molecule: non-coding RNA, 336 nt
Organism: Pelodiscus sinensis (Chinese soft-shelled turtle)
Lineage: Eukaryota; Metazoa; Chordata; Testudines; Trionychidae
Source: RefSeq, a predicted model, not a curated record
AGAAAGUGAUGACCACUCACUCACUACAACUGAGACCCUUUUAAGAUGCCUCAGCCAAUCCAGCUGCAAGAGGUGGGUGGUUGACACCACCUGGGACAGCCUCUUGAACCUGAGGGACCCACAGGUGCAGGAGACCCAUGGAUGGUUUCGGGAGGGCAUGCUGAUCCCUGGAGCAGACCAUUGACUGCAGGCUCCAGGAAGACAUCCAGCUGUGGUAACACUGUAAACAAGAAGCUGGCAACAUUAUGUCCUGCAAUCGUAACCAAACUUGUUUGCCUGAGAAAAUUGGAUGAAUAAGAAGUAGGACUGAGUGGAGCUGUAGGCAUUAAAGGGUUA